Molecule: ribosomal RNA, 253 nt
Filed under: uncultured bacterium
Lineage: Bacteria
Description: partial 16S ribosomal RNA
Rfam family: Bacterial small subunit ribosomal RNA
Source: RNAcentral
UACGAAGGGGGCUAGCGUUGCUCGGAAUUACUGGGCGUAAAGGGCGCGUAGGCGGAUAUCUAAGUUGGGGGUGAAAUCCCGGGGCUCAACCUCGGAAUUGCCUUCAAAACUGGAUAUCUUGAGUUCGGGAGAGGUGAGUGGAACUCCGAGUGUAGAGGUGAAAUUCGUAGAUAUUCGGAAGAACACCAGUGGCGAAGGCGACUCACUGGCCCGAUACUGACGCUGAGGCGCGAAAGCCAGGGGAGCAAACGGG